Oncorhynchus keta (chum salmon) is the source of this 3868-nucleotide long non-coding RNA. RefSeq lists it as uncharacterized. The transcript has 3 exons. The record is from RefSeq and is a predicted model, not a curated record. Lineage: Eukaryota; Metazoa; Chordata; Actinopteri; Salmoniformes; Salmonidae.
UCAGUAGUAUAUUCAUUGCUGUAUGCUUGACGAUUUUCAUUCACUCGUCUGUGUAUUCAUAGUGUUGUAAUAGUAAUUCCAAGUGUAUCACUCUGAUUCACAGUUUAUCUGUAAAUGAAAACGUUUUGUAGGCUAACAUACCUGACUGAUGCAAUGGUGGCAAUUUUUUUUUUUUAUAACAUAGCCUAAAUGUUUCAACCUAGGUAGCCUUCAACACAGGCAAGAAUCCUUCAUGUAUGUAACUGGUAUAAUCAGUGCAUUGAUAAUGACACAGAAUAACUUUUUGCUGUCAAUAGAAGUGCAAAAGGUUAGGUUUGAUACUGUUUAGGAUUUUAUAUAUACACUACAUACACUACCGUUCAAAAGUUUGGGGUCACUUAGAAAUGUCCUUGUUUUUGAAAGAAAAGCGCAUCUUUUGUCCAUUAAAAUAAAUAACAUCAACUUGAUCAGAAAUAUAGUGUAGACAUUGUUCAUGUUGUAAAUUACUAUUGUAGCUGGAAACUGUGUUUUUUUAAAUGGAAUGUCUACAUAGGCGCACAGAGGCCCAUUAUCAGCAACCAUCACUCCUGUGUUCCAAUGGCACAUUAUGUUAGCUAAUCCAAGUUGAUCAUUUUAAAAGGGUAAUUGAUCAUUUGAAAACCCUUUUGCAAUUAUGUUAGCACAGCUGAAAACUGUUGUAUGAUUAAAGAACCAAUAAAACUGGCCUUCUUUAGACUAGUUGAGUAUCUGGAGCAUCAGCAUUUGUGGGUUCGAUUACAGGCUCAAAUUGGCUAGAAACAAAGCACUUUCUUUUGAAACUCAUCAGUCUAUUCUUGAUCUGAGAAAUGAAGGCUAUUCCAUGUGAGAAAUUGCCAAGAAACUGAAGAUCUCGUACUACUCCCUUCACAGAACAGCGCAAACUGGCCCUAACCAGAAUAGAAAGAGGAGUGGGAGGCCCCGGUGCACAACUGAGUAAGAGGACAAGUACAUUAGAGUUUCUAGUUUGAGAAACAGAUGCCUCACAAGUCCUCAACUGGCAGCUUCAUUAAAUAGUACCCGCAAAACACCAGUCUCAACGUCAACAAUGGAGGCGACUCCGAGAUGCUGGCUUUCUAGGCAGAGUUGAAAAGACAGAGCCAUAUCUUAGACUGGCCAAUAAAAAUAAAAGAUUAAGAUGCGCAAAAGAACACAGACACUGGACAGAGGAACUGUGCCUAGAAAAUGUGCUUUUCUUUCAAAAACAAGAACAUUUCUAAGCUGACCCCAAACUUUUGAACGGUAGUGGAUAUAUGGUAAUACUUGAGCAAUGAACCAUAUUGCUGUAUUUGAAUAGUUGUAACUACAAUGAUAAGACAAAGCAUUAAUGACACAAAUCUCCUCGAGGACUGUAACAAUGUACAACAGAGGCCUACUUCUCACAGGGUCCUUUCCAAGUGUCACAAGUUUCCCACACAGCUAGAAACCUUGCCUGAGAUGCGCUGAUGAAUUUCAGUCAUUGUUUCUGGUAGUGUGUGUAGCAGGUAUGUCAACAGGUGUCAAUGCCUCUGGUUAAGUCGUGAGAAAGAAUAUUUGAAUAACCUGAGAAGAGUUUGCCUGAUAUUGGGAAGGAUUCUAGUCACAGAAAAAGCCUUAAAAACUUCUAACAUGAUCGAAGGAGAUCCUCCACUGAAAGUGCUUCUUAGUCCAGGACGAGGCUUAAUCUGUCCACUCAUACGUAUGGUUACAGGCAGGGGGCAGUGAUGUGUCUCAAAGGAGAAUAGAACCAUUGUAUGACGUCGUGUACUGUGGGCAGUUUCAGUGGUGUUGCCACAUCCAAGCGAACCAUGACAAUGUCAGGUAUGUUGGUAAACCAGCUCUACUGAAGCACCAAACCCUCCUUUCUACUUUAAUUCACAGGGAAGAGUUAGACGAAAUGGGACAUUGUACUUUCCCUGAUGACUGCAACCCAUCAUGACUCACUUUCAUCUUUUUUUAUUCUCUCCUUUUGCAGGAGACAUGUUUGUGCUGCAGGUAAAACCAGGGCAUCACCAGAAUGAUGUUAUACCUGUAUACAUGUUCUCUCUCUACAGGUAAAACCAGGGCAUCACCAGAAUGAUGUUAUACCUGUAUACAUGUUCUCUCUCUACAGGUAAAACCAGGGCAUCACCAGAAUGAUGUUAUACCUGUAUACAUGUUCUCUCUCUACAGGUAAAACCAGGGCAUCACCAGAAUGAUGUUAUACCUGUAUACAUGUUCUCUCUCUACAGGUAAAACCAGGGCAUCACCAGAAUGAUGUUAUACCUGUAUACAUGUUCUCUCUCUACAGGUAAAACCAGGGCAUCACCAGAAUGAUGUUAUACCUGUAUACAUGUUCUCUCUCUACAGGUAAAACCAGGGCAUCACCAGAAUGAUGUUAUACCUGUAUACAUGUUCUCUCUCUACAGGUAAAACCAGGGCAUCACCAGAAUGAUGUUAUACCUGUAUACAUGUUCUCUCUCUACAGGUAAAACCAGGGCAUCACCAGAAUGAUGUUAUACCUGUAUACAUGUUCUCUCUCUACAGGUAAAACCAGGGCAUCACCAGAAUGAUGUUAUACCUGUAUACAUGUUCUCUCUCUACAGGUAAAACCAGGGCAUCACCAGAAUGAUGUUAUACCUGUAUACAUGUUCUCUCUCUACAGGUAAAACCAGGGCAUCACCAGAAUGAUGUUAUACCUGUAUACAUGUUCUCUCUCUACAGGUAAAACCAGGGCAUCACCAGAAUGAUGUUAUACCUGUAUACAUGUUCUCUCUACAGGUAAAACCAGGGCAUCACCAGAAUGAUGUUAUACCUGUAUACAUGUUCUCUCUCUACAGGUAAAACCAGGGCAUCACCAGAAUGAUGUUAUACCUGUAUACAUGUUCUCUCUCUACAGGUAAAACCAGGGCAUCACCAGAAUGAUGUUAUACCUGUAUACAUGUUCUCUCUCUACAGGUAAAACCAGGGCAUCACCAGAAUGAUGUUAUACCUGUAUACAUAUUCUCUCUCUACAGGUAAAACCAGGGCAUCACCAGAAUGAUGUUAUACCUGUAUACAUGCUCUCUCUCUACAGGUAAAACCAGGGCAUCACCAGAAUUAUGUUAUUCCUGUAUACAUGUUCUCUCUACAGGUAAAACCAGGGCAUCACCAGAAUUAUGUUAUUCCUGUAUACAUGUUCUCUCUACAGGUAAAACCAGGGCAUCACCAGAAUGAUGUUAUACCUGUAUACAGGUAAGUGGGAAUACCCAGACCAACCUUUUUCCCUGACAAGAGGAACCUUAAAGAUGGAAUGCAGCAUAAAGUUCUCAGUGUAACAUUAUAACAUUACUUGAAGAAAUGUAUAAGUUCUUGAAAUUGUCCGGAUUGACUGACCUUCAUGUCUUAAAGUAAUGACUUUUAAUUGACUAAAAGACAUCUAGUAAGUUGAACUGAGUUAAAAAGCCUUAUUGUUUUAGGUUAGUUAUCAUUGUUUUAGUUCACAAUGGAGCCCCUAGUUCCACUCUUCAUACCCCUGAUAACUCCUUUGUCCCACCUCCCACACAUGCGGUGACCUCACCCAUUACAACCAGCAUGUCCAGAGAUACAACCUCUCUCAUCAUCACCCGGGGCCUGGGCUUACCUCCGCUGUACCCGCACCCCACCAUACCCCUGUCUGCGCAUUAUGCCCUGAAUAUAUUCUACCAUGCCCAGAAACCUGCUCCUCUUAUUCUCUGUCCCCAACGCUCUAGGCGACCAGUUUUGAUAGCCUUUAGCCGCACCCUCAUACUACUCCUUCUCUGUUCCGCGGGUGAUGUGGAGGUAAACCCAGGCCCUGCAUGUCCCCAGGCACCCUCAUUUGUUGACUUCUGUGAUCGAAAAAGCCUUGGUUUCAUGCAUGUCAACAUCAGAAGCC